This 1475-nucleotide ribosomal RNA is filed under the name Chryseobacterium sp. RNAcentral describes it as "partial 16S ribosomal RNA". It matches the Rfam family "Bacterial small subunit ribosomal RNA". Lineage: Bacteria; Pseudomonadati; Bacteroidota; Flavobacteriia; Flavobacteriales; Weeksellaceae. The record is from RNAcentral.
GGGGAAAUCGGGAGCUACCAUGCAGCCGAGCGGUAUUGUUUCUUCGGAAAUGAGAGAGCGGCGUACGGGUGCGGAACACGUGUGCAACCUGCCUUUAUCAGGGGGAUAGCCUUUCGAAAGGAAGAUUAAUACCCCAUAAUAUUUAGAAUGGCAUCAUUUUAAAUUGAAAACUCCGGUGGAUAGAGAUGGGCACGCGCAAGAUUAGAUAGUUGGUGAGGUAACGGGCUUCCACCAAGUCUUGCGAUUCUUUAGGGGGGCCCUGAAGAGGGGUGAUCCCCCCACACUGGGUACUGAGACACCGGGACCAGACUUCCUACGGGGAGGCAGCCAGUGAGGGAAUAUUGGACCAAUGGGUUGCGAGCCCUGAUCCCAGCCAUCCCGGCGUGAAGGAUGACGGCCCCUAUGGGUUGUAAACUUCUUUUGUAUAGGGAUAAACCUAGAUACGUGUAUCUAGCUGAAGGUACUAUACGAAUAAGCACCGGCUAACUCCGUGCCAGCAGCCGCGGUAAUACGGAGGGUGCAAGCGUUAUCCGGAUUUAUUGGGUUUAAAGGGUCCGUAGGCGGAUCUGUAAGUCAGUGGUGAAAUCUCACAGCUUAACUGUGAAACUGCCAUUGAUACUGCAGGUCUUGAGUGUUAUUGAAGUAGCUGGAAUAAGUAGUGUAGCGGUGAAAUGCAUAGAUAUUACUUAGAACACCAAUUGCGAAGGCAGGUUACUAAGCAACAACUGACGCUGAUGGACGAAAGCGUGGGGAGCGAACAGGAUUAGAUACCCUGGUAGUCCACGCCGUAAACGAUGCUAACUCGUUUUUGGGGCGCAAGCUUCAGAGACUAAGCGAAAGUGAUAAGUUAGCCACCUGGGGAGUACGAACGCAAGUUUGAAACUCAAAGGAAUUGACGGGGGCCCGCACAAGCGGUGGAUUAUGUGGUUUAAUUCGAUGAUACGCGAGGAACCUUACCAAGGCUUAAAUGGGAAAUGACAGGUUUAGAAAUAGACUUUUCUUCGGACAUUUUUCAAGGUGCUGCAUGGUUGUCGUCAGCUCGUGCCGUGAGGUGUUAGGUUAAGUCCUGCAACGAGCGCAACCCCUGUCACUAGUUGCCAUCAUUAAGUUGGGGGACUCUAGUGGAGACUGCCUACGCCAAGUAAAAAAGGAAAGGUGGGGGAUGAACGUCCAAAUCAUUCACGGGCCCUUAACGCCCUUGGGGCCACACACCGUAAUAACAAUGGGCCCGGGUACAAAAGGGGCAGCUUACACCACGCGAAUGUGGAUGCCAAAAUCUCCCAAAAGCCGGUCUCAGUUCGGAUUGGAGUCUGCAACUCGACUCUAUGAAGCUGGAAUCGCUAGUAAUCGCGCAUCAGCCAUGGCGCGGUGAAUACGUUCCCGGGCCUUGUACACACCGCCCGUCAAGCCAUGGAAGUCUGGGGUACCUGAAGUCGGUGACCGUAACAGGAGCUGCCUAGGUAAAUCAGUAUGGG